GGAGAGGUAGUGAAGAGGCUAAACGCGGCGGACUGUAAAUCCGCUCCUUCGGGUUCGGGGGUUCGAAUCCCUCCCUCUCCA
Molecule: transfer RNA, 81 nt
Filed under: Streptococcus sp. KS 6
Lineage: Bacteria; Bacillati; Bacillota; Bacilli; Lactobacillales; Streptococcaceae
Also listed under: 1 other name
Description: tRNA-Tyr
Rfam family: tRNA
About the family: Transfer RNA (tRNA) molecules are approximately 80 nucleotides in length.
Source: RNAcentral